AUAAAUAUAUAUUUAAAAUUAUGGUAAAUACACUGUGUACCUAUAAUCAUGGACAGUUUAUACUUUUUAAUAAACUUCCUUGUCCCCAGUCUAAUGAAUUCUGAUACAACUGAUACUUGGUUUUAAUUGCUAUCCCAAACACUUGACAGAAUACCUGACAAAAUUUCCAUAUAUAAAUGCCAAAGAUGCUAUCACUGAUAGUAAUACCUGGGGAUAUCUUUAUACUAGUAAGUACAUGGCUACCUAAUUCUUAUAAGAACAGACAAAGCAUUGGGGGAUAAUAUGUAGAUAUAACUGAUUUACUAUGAAGCCAAAACUGAGCUCAGCAUCCAUAACUAGAAUUAUAAGCAAAGAAAGGGUUAAAAACACAUUAGGUGAAUCACAGAUAUUUCUCUUUAUGGCCAGCAACCAUUACUUUCCAAAGCAAUCUUUUUACAGAUGACUUCGUUUCCGUAAAUCACACUUUCAAUUUUCAAACAUCUUAAGGAAAAAAAACCAUGCACAAGCACUUCAGAGGACUCUGAAAAAUCUGAACCUGCCGAAUUCUGUGUAAAUUACACAAAGAACCCUACGGGUCCUGAAAGCAGAAGGAGAUGCACACACAAACCCAGGGAAAACAGCAAAUCCUUAUCUCCCUGCUCAGAUACAGACACUGGUCAGAAAGGUGAGUUGCUUUCUCAAAAUGCUAAAGCUGUGAAGAGAAAUCAAAAUAGUCCUACCCUGCUGGAUCAAGAGCGCCUUUCCAGAAAUGUUCCAUGGGCUUGUAGAAGUCAAGGGCUGAGACAGUGAGAAGGAAGGGAAGAAUGUGCUCCCGUGUGCCUGUGGCUCCGGGUGUGAGCAAGGCAGAGCGUGUGGGGAUGUGUUUGCAUGUGGGAUGGCAGGGAAUCGGGAAGCAACCAGUAGGCAGGGCACUUGGCAGCCCCUCCCGGCAGACACAGCAGCUGGGCUGCCGCACAGAGCUGGAUGAAUGGCAGUGGAGAGUGAGGAGAGGCUUGCUGUCUGCUCACAGGGAGCGGGGUGGCACACUCAAGUCAGCGUUAUUGGAUGGAACCAGCACUCCCAAGCCUUUCUGCUCCUUCUCCCUGGAGCCUAGAAAGUGUGCCAUGUUUUCUGCUGCCGUCCGAGGCAAGAGGGAAAGCAGGCUUGCUGGAAAUCAUAGGCUUAUGGCUAAAAUAGAAUGCCAGUCAAAAGUGCGUGGAUAUCAAGUUUACAAAAUGUGA
This 1220-nucleotide long non-coding RNA is filed under the name Capra hircus (goat). RNAcentral's name for it is "lncRNA (ENSCHIG00010026019.1)". Lineage: Eukaryota; Metazoa; Chordata; Mammalia; Artiodactyla; Bovidae. The record is from RNAcentral.